This 3150-nucleotide long non-coding RNA is filed under the name Pan troglodytes (chimpanzee). Its description in RNAcentral is "long non-coding RNA NONPTRT004999". The record is from RNAcentral. Lineage: Eukaryota; Metazoa; Chordata; Mammalia; Primates; Hominidae.
CAAGGGAGUCAGCCGGGGAGGGCGAAAAGGGAACCUGGCCACUGCUCCUUGGUCCUUGGCAUUAUGACGGGAUUCCCUUGUCACCUCUGACAGUUCCUGGCUGCGGUGUCCGCGGACUGGCUGGGGAGUGAUGACAGAAGGGAUGGAAACCCUAUUUUCUUUUCUCCAAGACCAUGGUUGGUCUGCUUCCCUCACUCGGGCUCCUUGACAGUCUUCUAGAAGAGAGGAGGAGGAAAAGAAGCAGUUCCUGAUGUUACAAAUGAACAAGGAUCUCCCAGAAAACAGGAAGAAUGUCAUGCACCGUGUGGAUCACCUUCAGUUCAAAGUUGCAGCAAAGUGAAGAAACUACUGGAAGCCACCCAGCAAUGCACUGUUUAGUCAUCAAUUAGGAGCCCAUGGGAGGAUAAUAGGGAGACUGGGUGGAGGCUCAGUGUGUAAUAAUCUCUUGUCUAAUGUAUGUGUGUCACUGCCAUGUUGUAUGAACAAUAGUGAGGGCUCACAUUUACUUAACACUUGUGUACUCAAAUCUGGGUUUUUCUUUCUUUCCAGAACUAUGACUCAAUCAUAAAAUCUGUUUUGUUUGCAUGCAUGCCCAAAACAACCCUAUAGGUAGAACAUUAUCAUUAUCUCUGUUUUAGAGAUGAGGAAACAGGCUCAGAGAAGCUCAGAAAUUUGUUCAAGAUCGCACAGCUAGUAAAUGGCAGAAGUAGGAUUGUGAACCCAGGGAAUCUCCAGAGCCUCUGUGUAACCAUGAUAUUAUAUUUUUUUCCUCUUUAAAAACAAAAUUAAAAACCUUGCUAUAAUCUCUUAUUAGGAAAAGAUCAUAGUUUCUGAUUGUGCUCUGCCUUCCCAUCCUGCCAAUCUCCUGGACUGGGUUGGAGAAGACAGGGGGCCCCCGAGCUUCAUCUGUGACUCAAAGGAGUUUGCUGCUGUCUCCUGUGUCAGUGUCCCAUCUAUGCAGGAUCAGCACAGGACCCCCCUCGCCUUCCUACUUACACUCUAGCCUUUCCAUACAUUGGCAUUCUCUCCUGGCCCUAGCCAGCGCUCCACACCUGUUGGUGUGCCACCUCCCUCCCUCUUCCCCCACUGGCCUUGAACAGGCAAACCCCCUAAUGUUGCCCCUAGGUUGGGUCCAUGACUAGGACACCUGCUAGACGGUCUGUGCUUGGGCCUUUUCUAGGAAUCCUGAUGUUACUGGGUAAGUGCCAACUCUGUGGGCAGAAUGCUAAUGAUAAUCCUGUUCCCUAACCUCUUUCUCAGAAGUACCCUGGCUCACUCUCCCCAAUCUCAGCUUUAUAGAACAACAUUUUGGUCUUGAUUAUUCCCAUAUCAAGCUGCCCCAGGGCUUCGGUAAGCUGUUAGUUGCCCCACUGCCUCAAGGCUGGGUCUGGCUGAGCUACUUUCUUAUGCACACAAAUAAUGGGUGUCUCCUUGGAACCUGACACAAAACUAUCAGUGCUACCAAGCCUUGUAAAAUAGGGAAGAAACUAAUAUUUCUUGAGUGGCUUCUGAGUGCCUGGUGCUUUCACGGCUCUCUGGAGAGAUUCCUUGCCCUGAUGCCUUUGGUGUGUACUCCUCUCCCAGGACUUCAGCACUGAGAUUUUCCCAACCCCCUGGCUUUUCCUCACCUUGGGUUGAGUUGAUCCGGCACUACCACAAACCCCAGCAUCUGCAAACCAACCAAGAUUAGGCAGUAUGCCCUUUCCGUCUUGCACUGCUCUUCCAAAACUUCCAUCUGUAUUUCUCACACCCUCAGUAAGCAAAGCUGAGUGUGCGUAGACAGAGCUGCAUCCACUGCUUUCUCCCAACGGGUGCAGUCUAAUCUGACACGGGGAACACUAGGAGUUUAGCGGAAUCUUCAGCCACCCUAUUAAUGUGUUACGCAUUAGGCAUUGUAGUGGAAACUACUCUGACGGCUCAUGAUUAUAUGAACAGGAGCAAUUUGGAAUAUAACAUGUCAGCCGUGGACUGGGAGGUGCCGUAAGAGAAAACACUACCAGGGUCAUAGGCUUGGGUCCUUGAGGCAACCUAGCAGGGACGCUGUUGCCCAUUCCUCUCAUCCAGACUGCAGGUAUCUUCCUACACCUCCCUGUCCCAUAGCCUCCGUCCUGUUUUUUGUUUGUUUGUUUUUCUUUGUGAAUGUAGAAAAACAUUUCAUCAUGAGCCCUAGCUCCUCAGUUUUCCACCUAACACCCACAUUCCCUUGUUUCUAACUGCCGUGUUUUUCUGGAGCCUGCUGGGAUCUUUGCAGUUUGCAGAUCAUAGAAUCAGACAUGAAAAGGCUUCUCUUCAGACGUCAUUGGUUCCUGGCUCCUUUACAGAUGAGAACACAGGCCCAGAGGUGAGAAAUGACUCUAGCAGGGUCAUAGAAUUUGUUAGUGCAGCUCAAGAUGGGACUUAAACUCAGGCCUCCUGAUCACAUCCCAUUCCCAGGCUAGGAAACAGGUCUCUGCUCGGUGUGGUGGUUCAUACCUGUAAUCGCAACACUUUGGGAGGCUGAGGCAGGAGCGUUGCUUGAGCCCAGGAGUUCGAGACCAGUCUGAGCAACAUAGUGGGACCCUGUCUCUACAAAAACUUUAAAAAUUAGCUGGGCAUGGUGGCACACAUCUGUAGUUCCAGCUACUCGGGAAGCUGAGACAGGAGGAUCGCUUGAGCCCAGGAGUUGGAGGUUACUGAGCUAUGAUCGCACCACUGCACUCCAGCUUGGUGACAGUGAGACCCUCAAAAAAAAAAAAAAAAAGAAAAGAAAGAGGUCUCUACACAAGCCCGUGAUUCUUCAUGGCAAGGGAUAACAUCAGAAAUGUUUUAUUUUCUGCUAUUAGUUUCCAUUCCUUUCCCCAUCCAGGCAUAAAGAGAAACAAAAGACAAUGAUGGUAUUCUCUGUGUCCUCAGCUUUGGCACUUUUGUUGAUGUUGCUAAGGAGCAGUGACCUUGCUAAAAAGACUGAAUAAUCCACCCACUGAAUAGCUAACCUGGGAAGGAAAUGAAAAUUUCCUAUGUGGAUCUCCCCAAAUCCAUUGUUGUCACCAGGCCCUCCCAGAGCCUCCUCAGUUCCUUCACAGUGCAACCCUGUGUACUUGGCCCGCAACCCAAUAGUAUUGUGCCUCACUUCGCCUUCCAUGGGCAACUGCCCUCCCUUCUGGACAUAAA